Molecule: ribosomal RNA, 252 nt
Filed under: uncultured bacterium
Lineage: Bacteria
Description: partial 16S ribosomal RNA
Rfam family: Bacterial small subunit ribosomal RNA
Source: RNAcentral
UACGUAGGGGGCGAGCGUUAUCCGGAUUCAUUGGGCGUAAAGCGCGCGUAGGCGGCCGCCUAAGCGGAACCCCUAACCCCGGGGCUCAACCUCGGGCCGGGUUCCGGACUGGGCGGCUCGAGUGCGGUAGAGGAGAGCGGAAUUCCCGGUGUAGCGGUGGAAUGCGCAGAUAUCGGGAAGAACACCGAUGGCGAAGGCAGCUCUCUGGGCCGUCACUGACGCUGAGGCGCGAAAGCUGGGGGAGCGAACAGG